GGAGGUUUAGCUCAGUGGUAGAGUGCUUGCCUAGCAAGCGCAAGGCCCUGGGUUCAGUCCCCAGCUCCG
This 69-nucleotide transfer RNA is filed under the name Rattus norvegicus (Norway rat). It matches the Rfam family "tRNA". From Rfam's summary of the family: Transfer RNA (tRNA) molecules are approximately 80 nucleotides in length. The record is from Rfam by way of RNAcentral. Lineage: Eukaryota; Metazoa; Chordata; Mammalia; Rodentia; Muridae.